ACAAGCGGUGGAUGAUGUGGAUUAAUUCGAUAGCAACGCGAAAACCUUACCUACCCUUGACAUGUCCGGAAUCCGAAGAGAUUUGGGAGUGCUCGCAAGAGAACCGGAACACAGGUGCUGCAUGGCUGUCGUCAGCUCGUGUCGUGAGAUGUUGGGUUAAGUCCCGCAACGAGCGCAACCCUUGUCAUUAGUUGCCAUCAUUUGGUUGGGCACUCUAAUGAGACUGCCGGUGACAAACCGGAGGAAGGUGGGGAUGACGUCAAGUCCUCAUGGCCCUUAUAGGUGGGGCUACACACGUCAUACAAUGGAUGGUACAAAGGGUCGCCAACCCGCGAGGGGGAGCCAAUCCCAUAAAGCCAUUCGUAGUCCGGAUCGUAGUCUGCAACUCGACUGCGUGAAGUCGGAAUCGCUGGUAAUCGUGGAUCAGAAUGUCACGGUGAAUACGUUCCCGGGUCUU
RNAcentral lists this ribosomal RNA (457 nucleotides) under uncultured Rhodocyclaceae bacterium. Its description in RNAcentral is "bacterial SSU rRNA". It matches the Rfam family "Bacterial small subunit ribosomal RNA", at positions 925 to 1382 of the family's 1533-position model. Lineage: Bacteria; Pseudomonadati; Pseudomonadota; Betaproteobacteria; Rhodocyclales; Rhodocyclaceae. The record is from RNAcentral.